UACGAAGGUGGCAAGCGUUACUCGGAAUUACUAGGCGUAAAGGGCAGGUAGGUGGUCCAGUAAGUCUGUUGUGGAAGCUCUCGGCUUAACCGAGAGAGGCCAACGGAAACUACUGGACUUGAGUGUAGGAGAGGGUACUGGAAUUCCCGGUGUAGCGGUGAAAUGCGCAGAGAUCGGGAGGAACACCAAUGGCGAAAGCAGGUACCUGGACUAUUACUGACACUAAGCUGCGAAAGCUAGGGGAGCAAACAGG
Molecule: unclassified non-coding RNA, 253 nt
Filed under: uncultured Elusimicrobia bacterium
Lineage: Bacteria; Pseudomonadati; Elusimicrobiota; Elusimicrobia
Description: contains 16S-23S intergenic spacer region
Rfam family: Bacterial small subunit ribosomal RNA
Source: RNAcentral